CAGAGCUCAUUUUUAUUCCUGUCUGCAAUCGUGCAAAAACGCCUCUUAUGGAAAAGCCAGAGCGCCAGGAGUCAGCAAAACACACUAAAGAUUGGGCAGUCACUGGGGAGAACGUGAGUAAAAGCACAGGAACAGCAAAGCGUUCAGGAACGUUCGAGGCUGACGCAACCGGCGCAGGAAGAUGGCCUGAAGCAACUGAAGAUCCACAAAAGAAGUGAAAAUAGCCUUAACUGAUGACAUUCCACCAUUGAGAUUUGUUCCUGCCCCACCCUAACUGAUACGAUAUAUUCUCCCCCGCCCUUAAGAAGACUCAGCCCGCCUGCACCCAGGUGAAAUAUACAGCCUUGUUGCUCACACAAAGCCUGUUUGGUGGUUUCUUCACACGGAUGCAUGUGACAUUUGGUGCUGAAGACCCAGGACAGGAGGACUCCUUUGGGAGACCAGUGCCCUGUUGUCGCCCUCACUCCGUGAGGAGAUCCACCUAUGAUCUCAGGUCCUCAGACCAACCAGCCCAAGGAACAUCUUGCCAAUUUCAAAUCGGGUUGUCAGAAUCUGCAGAGAAGCUUCCUCCAAUCUCCAGCCUGAGAGUUCAGGCCUGGUUACCAGCAUUCUAGAAGCUGAAAGAGGAGAAGUUCUUGGAAGACUAAGAAGUCCAACAUUCGAUGGCACACAAGGAGAUUAUAUCCCGCACCUGGCUUGGAGGAUCCUACGCCCAUGGAGCCUCGCUCAUUGGUGGCACAGCAGUCUGAGAUCAAACUGCAAGGUGGCAGCGAGGCUGGGGGCAGGGCGCCCACCAUUGCCGAGGCUUGAGUAGGUAAACAAAGCACCCGGGAAGCUCGAACUGGGUGGAGCCCACCCCAGCUCAAGGAGGCCUGCCUGCCUCUGUAGACUCCACCUCUGGGGGCAGGGCAUAGCCAAACAAAGGCAGCUGAAACCUCUGCAGACUUAAAUGUCCCUAUCUGACAGCUUUGAAGAGAGUAGUGGUUCUCCCAGCACGCAGCUUGAGAUCUGAGAAUGGACAGACUGCCUCCUCAAGUGGGUCCCUGACCCACAAGUAGCUUAACUGGGAGGCAACCCCCAGUAGGGGCAGACUGACACCUCACACGGCCAGGCACUCCUCUGAGACAAAACUUCCACAGGAAUGAUCAGGCAGCAACAUUUGCUGUUCACCAAUAUCUGCUGUUCUGCAGCCUCCGCUGCUGAUACCCAGGCAAACAGGGUCUGGAGUGGACCUCCAGCAAACUCCAACAGACCUGCAGCUGAGGGUCCUGACUGUUAGAAGGAAAACUAACAAACAGAUAGGACAUCCACACCAAAACCCCAUCUGUACGUCACCAUCAUCAAAGACCAAAGGUAGAUAAAAUCACAAAGAUGGGGAAAAAACAGAGCAGAAAAACUGGAAACUCUAAAAAUCAGAGUGCCUCUCCUUCUCCAAAGGAAUGCAGCUCCUCACCAGCAGUGGAACAAAGCUGGAUGGAGAAUGACUUUGACGAGUUGAGAGAAGAAGGCUUCAGAUGAUCAAACUAGUCCGAGCUAAAGGAGGAAGUUCGAACCCAUGGCAAAGAAGUUAAAAACCUUGAAAAAAAAUUAGAUGAAUGGCUAACUAGAAUAACCAAUGCAGAGAAGUCCCUAAAGGACCUGAUGGAGCUGAAAACCACGGCACAAGAACUAUGUGACGAAUGCACAAGCCUCAGUAGCCGAUUCAAUCAACUGGAAGAAAGGGUAUCAGUGUUGGAAGAUCAAAUGAAUGAAAUGAAGUGAGAAGAGAAGUUUAGAGAAAAAAGAAUAACAAGAAAUGAACAAAGCCUCCAAGAAAUAUGGGACUAUGUGAAAAGACCAAAUCUACAUCUGAUUGGUGUACCUGAAAGUGACGGGGAGAAUGGAACCAAGUUGGAAAACACUCUGCAGGAUAUUAUCCAGGAGAACUUCCCCAAUCUAGCAAGGCAGGCCAACAUUCAAAUUAAGGAAAUACAGAGAACACCACAAAGAUACUCCUUGAGAAGAGCAACUCCAAGACACAUAAUUGUCAGAUUCACCAAAGUUGAAAUGAAGGAAAAAAUGUUAAGGGCAGCCAGAGAGAAAGGUUGGGUUACCCACAAAGGGAAGCCCAUCAGACUAACAGCUGAUCUCUUGGCAGAAACUCUACAAGCCAGAAGAGAGUGGGGGCCAAUAUUCAACAUUCUUAAAGAAAAGAAUUUUCAACCCAGAAUUUCAUAUCCAGCCAAACUAAGCUUCAUAAGUGAAGGAGAAAUAAAAUCCUUUACAGACAAGCAAAUGCUGAGAGAUUUUGUCACCACCAGGCCUGCCCUAAAAGAGCUCCUGAAUGAAGCACUAAACAUGGAAAGGAACAACCGGUACCAGCCACUGCAAAAACAUGUCAAAUGGUAAAGACCAUUGAGGCUAGGAAGAAACUGCAUCAACUAACGAGCAAAAUAACCAGCUAACAUCAUAAUGACAGGAUCAAAUUCACACAUAAUAAUAUUAACCUUAAAUGUAAAUGGGCUAAAUGCCCCAAUUAAAAGACACAGACUGGCAAAUUGAAUAAAGAGUCAAGACUCAUCAGUGUGCUGUAUUCAGGAAACCCAUCUCACGUGCAGAGACACACAUAGGCUCAAAAUAAAGGGAUGGAGGAAGAUCUACCAAGCAAAUGGAAAACAAAAAAAGGCAGGGGUUGCAAUCCCAGUCUCUGACAAAGCAGACUUUAAACCAACAAAGAUCAAAAGAGACAAAGAAGGCCAUUACAUAAUGGUAAAGGGAUCAAUUCAACAAGAAGAGCUAACUAUCCUAAACAUAUAUGCACCCAACACAGGAGCACCCAGAUUCAUAAAGCAAGUCCUUAGAGACCUACAAAGAGACUUAGACUCCCACACAAUAAUAAUGGGAGACUUUAACACCCCACUGUCAACAUUAGACAGAUCAACGAGACAGAAAGUUAACAAGGAUAUCCAGGAAUUGAACUCAGCUCUGCACCAAGCAUACCUAAUAGACAUCUACAGAACUCUCCACCCCAAAUCAACAGAAUAUACAUUCUUUUCAGCACCACACCACACCUAUUCCAAAACUGACCACAUAGUUGGAAGUAAAGCACUCCUCAGCAAAUGUAAAAGAACAGAAAUUAUAACAAACUGUCUCUCAGACCACAGUGCAAUCAAACUAGAACUCAGGAUUAAGAAACUCACUCAAAACCGCUCAAGUACAUGGAAACUGAACAACCUGCUCCUGAAUGACUACUGGGUAUAUAACAAAAUGAAGGCAGAAAUAAAGAUGUUAUUUGAAACCAAUGAGAACAAAGACACAACAUACCAGAAUCUCUGGGACACAUUCAAAGCAGUGUGUAGAGGGAAAUUUAUAGCACUAAAUGCCCACAAGAGAAAGCAGGAAAGAUCUAAAAUUGACACCCUAACAUCACAAUUAAAAGAACUAGAGAAGCAAGAGCAAACACAUUCAAAAGCUGGCAGAAGGCAACAAAUAACUAAGAUCAGAGCAGAACUGAAGGAAAUAGAGACACAAAAAACCCUUCAAAAAAUCAAUGAGUCCAGGAGCUGGUUUUUUGAAAAGAUCAACAAAAUUGAUAGACCACUAGCAAGACUAAUAAAGAAGAAAAGAGAGAAGAAUCAAAUAGACGCAAUAAAAAAAUGAUAGAGGGGAUAUCACCACCGAUCCCACAGAAAUACAAACUACCAUCAGAGAAUACUAUAAACACCUCUAUGCAAAUAAACUAGAAAAUCUAGAAGAAAUGGAUAAAUUCCUCGACACAUACACCCUCCCAAGACUAAACCAGGAAGAAGUUGA
Molecule: long non-coding RNA, 3792 nt
Organism: Homo sapiens (human)
Lineage: Eukaryota; Metazoa; Chordata; Mammalia; Primates; Hominidae
Gene: OLMALINC
Product: oligodendrocyte maturation-associated long intergenic non-coding RNA
Source: Ensembl